GCCCGAGUGGCGGAAUAGGUAGACGCACGGGACUUAAAAUCCCGAGGCCGCAAGGCCGUGGGGGUUCGAUUCCCCCCUCCGGCACCA
This 87-nucleotide transfer RNA is filed under the name Desulfobacterales bacterium. Its description in RNAcentral is "tRNA-Leu". It matches the Rfam family "tRNA". From Rfam's summary of the family: Transfer RNA (tRNA) molecules are approximately 80 nucleotides in length. Their secondary structure includes four short double-helical elements and three loops (D, anti-codon, and T loops). Further hydrogen bonds mediate the characteristic L-shaped molecular structure. tRNAs have two regions of fundamental functional importance: the anti-codon, which is responsible for specific mRNA codon recognition, and the 3' end, to which the tRNAs corresponding amino acid is attached (by aminoacyl-tRNA synthetases). tRNAs cope with the degeneracy of the genetic code in two manners: having more than one tRNA (with a specific anti-codon) for a particular amino acid; and 'wobble' base-pairing, i.e. permitting non-standard base-pairing at the 3rd anti-codon position. The record is from RNAcentral. Lineage: Bacteria; Pseudomonadati; Thermodesulfobacteriota; Desulfobacteria; Desulfobacterales.